GUCCUUUUGAAUUUAAUUUAAGGUUUGACCUGCCCACUGAUUUUUUGAAGGGCCGCAGUAAUUUGACUGUGCAAAGGUAGCAUAAUCAUUAGUUUUUUAAUUAAAAGCUUGUAUGAAGGGUUGGACGAGGUAAAUUCUGUCUCUAAUUAAUUUAUAUUAGAAUUUAAUUUUUAAGUUAAAAAGCUUAAAUAAGUUUAAAAGACGAGAAGACCCUAUAGAUCUUUAUAUUAUUAUUAUUAAUUUUAAUUAAGAUUAUUUUAUUUUUUAAUGAUACUAAUAUUUUAUUGGGGUAAUAAAGAGAUUUAAUUAAUUCUUUUUUUAUUUUUACAUAAAUAAAUGAUUGUAUGAUCCACUAUUAUUGAUUAAAAGAUUAAGUUACCUUAGGGAUAACAGCGUAAUUUUUUUAGAGAGUUCAUAUCGAUAAAAAAGUUUGCGACCUCGAUGUUGGAUUAAAAAUUAAUUUAGGUGUAGAAGCUUAAAUUUUUGGUCUGUUCGACCAUUGAAUUUUU
RNAcentral lists this ribosomal RNA (509 nucleotides) under Ilybius gagates. RNAcentral's name for it is "partial 16S ribosomal RNA". The stretch from base 386 to 509 matches the Rfam family "Bacterial large subunit ribosomal RNA", at positions 2473 to 2597 of the family's 2925-position model. The record is from RNAcentral. Lineage: Eukaryota; Metazoa; Arthropoda; Insecta; Coleoptera; Dytiscidae.